RNAcentral lists this ribosomal RNA (488 nucleotides) under Staphylococcus pseudintermedius. RNAcentral describes it as "partial 23S ribosomal RNA". It matches the Rfam family "Bacterial large subunit ribosomal RNA", at positions 704 to 1191 of the family's 2925-position model. The record is from RNAcentral. Lineage: Bacteria; Bacillati; Bacillota; Bacilli; Caryophanales; Staphylococcaceae.
UGGUCGUAGACCCGAAACCAGGUGAUCUACCCUUGGUCAGGUUGAAGUUCAGGUAACACUGAAUGGAGGACCGAACCGACUUACGUUGAAAAGUGAGCGGAUGAACUGAGGGUAGCGGAGAAAUUCCAAUCGAACUUGGAGAUAGCUGGUUCUCUCCGAAAUAGCUUUAGGGCUAGCCUCAAGUGAUGAUUAUUGGAGGUAGAGCACUGUUUGGACGAGGGGCCCCUCUCGGGUUACCGAAUUCAGACAAACUCCGAAUGCCAAAUAAUUUAACUUGGGAGUCAGAAUGUGGGUGAUAAGGUCCAUAUUCGAAAGGGAAACAGCCCAGACCACCAGCUAAGGUCCCAAAAUAUAUGUUAAGUGGAAAAGGAUGUGGCGUUGCCCAGACAACUAGGAUGUUGGCUUAGAAGCAGCCAUCAUUUAAAGAGUGCGUAAUAGCUCACUAGUCGAGUGACACUGCGCCGAAAAUGUACCGGGGCUAAACAUAU